CCAUAUCUUCCAUAGCCGACUCCUUCAU
RNAcentral lists this small RNA (28 nucleotides) under Arabidopsis thaliana (thale cress). RNAcentral's name for it is "ATSL074090". Lineage: Eukaryota; Viridiplantae; Streptophyta; Magnoliopsida; Brassicales; Brassicaceae. The record is from RNAcentral.